RNAcentral lists this ribosomal RNA (878 nucleotides) under Flavobacterium sp. GUAF 6049. RNAcentral describes it as "bacterial SSU rRNA". It matches the Rfam family "Bacterial small subunit ribosomal RNA", at positions 22 to 907 of the family's 1533-position model. The record is from RNAcentral. Lineage: Bacteria; Pseudomonadati; Bacteroidota; Flavobacteriia; Flavobacteriales; Flavobacteriaceae.
GCUCAGGAUGAACGCUAGCGGCAGGCUUAACACAUGCAAGUCGAGGGGUAGAGGCCUUCGGGCCUUGAGACCGGCGCACGGGUGCGUAACGCGUAUGCAAUCUGCCUUCCACAGAGGGAUAGCCCAGAGAAAUUUGGAUUAAUACCUCAUAGCAUCAUGACCCGGCAUCGGGAUAUGAUUAAAGUCACAACGGUGGAAGAUGAGCAUGCGUCCCAUUAGCUAGUUGGUAAGGUAAUGGCUUACCAAGGCUACGAUGGGUAGGGGUCCUGAGAGGGAGAUCCCCCACACUGGUACUGAGACACGGACCAGACUCCUACGGGAGGCAGCAGUGAGGAAUAUUGGUCAAUGGGCGCAAGCCUGAACCAGCCAUGCCGCGUGCAGGAUGACGGUCCUAUGGAUUGUAAACUGCUUUUGUACGGGAAGAAACCCUCCUACGUGUAGGAGCUUGACGGUACCGUAAGAAUAAGGAUCGGCUAACUCCGUGCCAGCAGCCGCGGUAAUACGGAGGAUCCAAGCGUUAUCCGGAAUCAUUGGGUUUAAAGGGUCUGUAGGCGGUCUUGUAAGUCAGUGGUGAAAGCCCAUCGCUCAACGGUGGAACGGCCAUUGAUACUGCUGGACUUGAAUUAUUGGGAAGCAACUAGAAUAUGUAGUGUAGCGGUGAAAUGCUUAGAGAUUACAUGGAAUACCAAUUGCGAAGGCAGGUUGCUACCAAUGGAUUGACGCUGAUGGACGAAAGCGUGGGUAGCGAACAGGAUUAGAUACCCUGGUAGUCCACGCCGUAAACGAUGGAUACUAGCUGUUGGGCGCAAGUUCAGUGGCUAAGCGAAAGUGAUAAGUAUCCCACCUGGGGAGUACGACGCAAGUUUGAAACUCAAAGG